CCUACGGGUGGCAGCAGUGAGGAAUAUUGGUCAAUGGGCGAGAGCCUGAACCAGCCAAGUCGCGUGAGGGAGUACUGCCCUAUGGGUUGUAGACCUCUUUUGUCGGGGAGCAAAAGCCGGACGUGUCCGGCUGUGAGAGUACCCGAAGAAAAAGCAUCGGCUAACUCCGUGCCAGCAGCCGCGGUAAUACGGAGGAUGGGAGCGGUAUCCGGGUUUAUUGGGGUUAAAGGGUGCGGAGGCGGGUUUUUAAGGCAGAGGUUAAAUCGUGGGGCUCAACCCCAUCCAGCCGUUGAAACUGGGGAUCUAGAGUGUGCGAGAGGUAUGCGGAAUGCGUGGUGUAGCGGUGAAAUGCAUAGAUAUCACGCAGAACCCCGAUUGCGAAGGCAGCAUACCGGUGCACAACUGACGCUCAGGCACGAAAGCGUGGGUAUCGAACAGGAUUAGAUACCCGGGUAGUC
RNAcentral lists this ribosomal RNA (458 nucleotides) under uncultured bacterium. RNAcentral's name for it is "partial 16S ribosomal RNA". It matches the Rfam family "Bacterial small subunit ribosomal RNA", at positions 338 to 795 of the family's 1533-position model. The record is from RNAcentral.